UGUGUCUUUAUAGCAGCAUGAUUUAUGGUC
This 30-nucleotide non-coding RNA is filed under the name Homo sapiens (human). Lineage: Eukaryota; Metazoa; Chordata; Mammalia; Primates; Hominidae. The record is from RNAcentral.